This 83-nucleotide transfer RNA is filed under the name Ralstonia mannitolilytica. RNAcentral describes it as "tRNA-Arg(gcg)". The record is from RNAcentral. Lineage: Bacteria; Pseudomonadati; Pseudomonadota; Betaproteobacteria; Burkholderiales; Burkholderiaceae.
UGCCACGCGGCGGGGUUUGCGCGCCGCAGCGGCCGGCGCGGGUUGUGCGCGGCCCGCGGCGAGCAUCUCGUCGGCGUGGCGGC